Molecule: ribosomal RNA, 451 nt
Filed under: uncultured archaeon
Lineage: Archaea
Description: partial 16S ribosomal RNA
Source: RNAcentral
ACAGGCACCGGUCUUGCCCGGCCCUUAAUAUACAAUGCUUUUUAUGCAUCACGACAGCCAGAUUUGUAACCUGGCACUCGAGGUCCCCUUAUCGCCGUUGCCGGCAUUGUAAAGUUUUCGCGCCUGCUGCACCCCGUAGGGCCUGGAUUCGUGUCUCAGAAUCCAUCUCCGGGCUCUUGCUCUCACAACCCGUACCCGUCGUAGGCUAGUAGGUACGCUACACCCACUACUACCUGAUAGGCCGCAGACCCAUCCUCUGGCGCCGGAGCUUUCGAUCUCGGGGCAUUCCAGCGACCGAGAUCUAUCGGGGAUUAUACCCAGUUUCCCGGGUUUAUACCCGUCCGGAGGGUAGGUUGUCCACGUGUUACUGAGCAGUACGCCAUGUAUUGCUACAUUCGACUCGCAUGGCUUAGUCGAACCUCGAUAACAGUGACGGCCACAGGAUCACCCU